AGUGAACGCUGGCGGUAGGCCUAACACAUGCAAGUCGAACGGCAGCACAGUAAGAGCUUGCUCUUACGGGUGGCGAGUGGCGGACGGGUGAGGAAUACAUCGGAAUCUACUUUUUCGUGGGGGAUAACGUAGGGAAACUUACGCUAAUACCGCAUACGACCUACGGGUGAAAGCAGGGGAUCUUCGGACCUUGCGCGAUUGAAUGAGCCGAUGUCGGAUUAGCUAGUUGGCGGGGUAAAGGCCCACCAAGGCGACGAUCCGUAGCUGGUCUGAGAGGAUGAUCCCCCACACUGGCCGGGAGACCCGGCCCAGACCCCGAGGGGGGCCGGCGGUGGGGAUUUUUGGACAAGGGCCACAGGCCUUAUCCAGCCCUACCGCGGGGGUGAAGAAGCCGUUCGGUUUGUAAAGCUUUUUUGUGGGGAAGAAAAAGAAGCAGUUUAAUCCCCGCCUUUUCUGCCGUUCCCCAAAGAAUAAGCACCGCCUAACUCCGGC
Molecule: ribosomal RNA, 492 nt
Filed under: uncultured bacterium
Lineage: Bacteria
Description: partial 16S ribosomal RNA
Rfam family: Bacterial small subunit ribosomal RNA
Source: RNAcentral